UACAGAGGUGGCAAGCGUUGUUCGGAAUUACUGGGCGUAAAGGGCGCGUAGGCGGCCUCAUAAGUCCUGUGUGAAAUCCCCCGGCUCAACUGGGGAACUGCACAGGAGACUGUUUGGCUUGAGUUCGGGAGAGGGAAGCGGAAUUCCGGGUGUAGCGGUGAAAUGCGUAGAUAUCCGGAGGAACACCGGUGGCGAAGGCGGCUUCCUGGACCGACACUGACGCUGAGGCGCGAAAGCUAGGGGAGCAAACGGG
Molecule: ribosomal RNA, 253 nt
Filed under: uncultured bacterium
Lineage: Bacteria
Description: partial 16S ribosomal RNA
Rfam family: Bacterial small subunit ribosomal RNA
Source: RNAcentral